RNAcentral lists this ribosomal RNA (433 nucleotides) under uncultured Actinomycetes bacterium. RNAcentral's name for it is "bacterial SSU rRNA". It matches the Rfam family "Bacterial small subunit ribosomal RNA", at positions 958 to 1392 of the family's 1533-position model. Lineage: Bacteria; Bacillati; Actinomycetota; Actinomycetes. The record is from RNAcentral.
AACGCGAAGAACCUUACCAAGGCUUGACAUGGACCGGACGGCUGCAGAAAUGUGGCUUUCUUCGGACUGGUUCACAGGUGGUGCAUGGUUGUCGUCAGCUCGUGUCGUGAGAUGUUGGGUUAAGUCCCGCAACGAGCGCAACCCUCGUUCCAUGUUGCCAGCGCGUAAUGGCGGGGACUCAUGGGAGACUGCCGGGGUCAACUCGGAGGAAGGUGGGGACGACGUCAAAUCAUCAUGCCCCUUAUGUCUUGGGCUUCAAGCAUGCUACAAUGGUCGGUACAAUGGGUUGCGAAACUGUGAGGUGGAGCGAAUCCCAAAAAGCCGGCCUCAGUUCGGAUUGGGGUCUGCAACUCGACCCCAUGAAGUCGGAGUCGCUAGUAAUCGCAGAUCAGCAACGCUGCGGUGAAUACGUUCCCGGGCCUUGUACACACCG